AAGUCGUAACAAGGUUUCCGUAGGUGAACCUGCGGAAGGAUCAUUAUCGAGUUUGAAGUGGGCCUUUUGAGCUGCAGUAAUGGUGUGCUCGAGGCCCCGCUCCAUCCACUCAACCCCUGUGCACUUUCGGAGUGGCGAGUGGGACCGCAAGGUCUUGCCCGUGGCUUCGUCUCUUAUCACAAACCAGUUUUAUUAUUGUCAUGUAGAACGUGGAUGCCUGCAAAGGCGGGAACUCAAUACAACUUUCAACAACGGAUCUCUUGGCUCUCGCAUCGAUGAAGAACGCAGCGAAAUGCGAUAAGUAAUGUGAAUUGCAGAUUUCAGUGAAUCAUCGAAUCUUUGAACGCACCUUGCGCUCCUGGACUUGUUUCAGGAGCAUGCCUGUUUGAGUGUCAUGAAAUUAUCAACCACGAUGCUUCUUAGUGUCGCUGGCUUGGACUUGGGGAUCUGCUGGCUUGUCAAGAGUCGGCUUCCCUUGAAUGCAUUAGUCGGGUGCCUUGCUCGAGAAGUGUGAUAAUUAUCAUUCACUGAUCGUCGAGGAGCUUUGUCUCGGCUUCUAACUGCAUCGGAAACGAUGCAAUUUUGACACAUCUGACCUCAAAUCAGGUAGGACUACCCGCUGAACUUA
Molecule: ribosomal RNA, 628 nt
Filed under: uncultured fungus
Lineage: Eukaryota; Fungi
Description: eukaryotic LSU rRNA
Rfam family: 5.8S ribosomal RNA (bases 241-395)
Source: RNAcentral